This 400-nucleotide ribosomal RNA is filed under the name Escherichia coli. RNAcentral's name for it is "bacterial LSU rRNA". It matches the Rfam family "Bacterial large subunit ribosomal RNA", at positions 1 to 431 of the family's 2925-position model. The record is from RNAcentral. Lineage: Bacteria; Pseudomonadati; Pseudomonadota; Gammaproteobacteria; Enterobacterales; Enterobacteriaceae.
GGGUUGUGAGGUUAAGCGACUAAGCGUACACGGUGGAUGCCCUGGCAGUCAGAGGCGAUGAAGGACGUGCUAAUCUGCGAUAAGCGUCGGUGAGGUGAUAUGAACCGUUAUAACCGGCGAUUUCCGAAUGGGGAAACCCAGUGUGUUUCGACACACUAUCAUUAACUGAAUCCAUAGGUUAAUGAGGCGAACCGGGGGAACUGAAACAUCUAAGUACCCCGAGGAAAAGAAAUCAACCGAGAUUCCCCCAGUAGCGGCGAGCGAACGGGGAGCAGCCCAGAGCCUGAAUCAGUGUGUGUGUUAGUGGAAGCGUCUGGAAAGGCGCGCGAUACAGGGUGACAGCCCCGUACACAAAAAUGCACAUGCUGUGAGCUCGAUGAGUAGGGCGGGACACGUGGUA